This 4696-nucleotide long non-coding RNA is filed under the name Callithrix jacchus (white-tufted-ear marmoset). RNAcentral describes it as "lncRNA (ENSCJAG00000074600.1)". The record is from RNAcentral. Lineage: Eukaryota; Metazoa; Chordata; Mammalia; Primates; Cebidae.
GCCUAUCCUCAUAUUUCCCUCUUAUUUUUUAAGGUGUUAGAUUACUGCAAAACCAGUGCUCUUUAACACUGUAACACACUUCAGAGGACACUUUGUGAAUUCUCAGAUGCCACACAAUUUCCAGGGAUAUUGUGAGACCUCUGAUAAGAUUUGUGUACAGCUUACACCUACUUAAUAUAUGGAUAAAUAUCCAGUAAAAUACAAAAUAAAUAGGAUUUCUCUUCACAAACAACAAGGUUGCAAGCACGAAGUGAAAUCUGCACAGAGAGAAAAAGAGCUCUGUCAUGUUGAGUGCUGACCUCAUGUUGAGUGAGUCAUAGAUUUUCUUUUUGUUCUAAGAUUGGAAAAUUCCAGGAAAAGAAACAUUUUGGAGAACGACAGAAAACAACUGGACCCAAGCUCAAGUCCUCAGAGAUAACAUCCUGUACUUAAAAUCUUUAAGUUGUUAUUGAGGGCGGGGAGAGAGAGAGAGAGAGAGAGAGAGAGAGAGAGAGAGAGAGAGAGAGAGAGAGAGAGAGAGAGAGAGAGAGAGAGUGUGUGUGUGUAGAGGAAGAGGAGAAGGGGGAGAUAAACAGCGGCAGAAAGAAAACACAUGCACGCAGUUAUGCUUCUUUAUACUCACCUUAUCCUUCCCUAUUCUGUAUUACUAAGACAUCCACUGGACCCAUUGCCUCUGGCUUCUGGUUGGAUUCAGCCACUGGAGAGCUUCAACAAACGCAGAAAGAAGGAAGCUACAUCUGUGGAAAACUAAGACUCCGCCUGUGUCCCGGAGGUGCCACUCCUCUCAAGGCAUCACUCUCCAUAGGAUCUUCCCAUUUUGGGUUCCAGUAACCUCUUAUUCCUCUCAUCCCUUCAGGCCUAGGGAUGGUAAUGAUUUGGCCAUUUCAAACUCUAGGGUAAUGGAGCUUCCCUUACACCCUCAAUAACUUUGUAGUUUAUUAGGCUUUCUUGAGUUACCCUAAUUUGCACAUGGCAUCUGUUUCCUGUUAGGACACUGACUGAUAUAUAACUCUAGAGAUCCUCAAACUUUAGGGUGUAUUAAAGUCACCUGACUUGCUAAAGCAGAGAUUGCUGAAUAACACCUCUGUAGUUUCUGAUUGAAUAGGUCUGGAUUGGGACCUCAGAAUUUAUGCCUGUAACAAUUUUCCAGUUGAUUCUUAAAGAUUACACUUUAUGAAUCACUCUGCUACUACUCUAUUGUGUCUCAAGCUUAAUGGGACUUAGCCACCAUUGGUCUAGGAGGAGGAACAGUAGCUAUUACAGUCCUGAGUUCCUUUGAGGAAAAACUACUUGGUGAGUGUGAGAAUAUGCCAGAAGUCCUAGAACUUUAAGAUCAUGGGAGAAGAUUAUAAAACAUCUUAGCUGUUAGCAGGAUCACUCUCUCUGGUUUCAGUGAGUAGAAGAACAUAAAAAGGCUAUUUCUUUGAUUUAGCUUUUUUCUUCCUUAAAAUACAUGAAAUCUAGUUUAGUUGGAAAAUUUUUAUAUACAAAUUUUUCUUUGGAAGCAUAAACAGUAGCAUGUUAAAUUACAUAGCUUGAGAAAUAUUACUAAUUUUCUUCUCUAAAUGGCUAGUAGAAAAAGGAGGAUGUAAAGAGAAAAAUGUCUAGGCUUUUAAAAGGUUAUCUAGAUCUCUUUAAUCGAUUGUAAACUAGUGGGAGGGAGUCAAUAUUCCAAUAUUAAUUGAGCACCUACUAUCUGCCAGUCUCCUAUCAAAAUUAACUCCUUUUAUCCUCCCCUAGAAAUCAAAGUAAUAGAUAGAUGAGGACACAGAGAGAAACAUGAGAAGUUAAAUAGCUUGUCCAAUUUCCACAGCUCAUGAUAAAGUUGGUAUUGGAACCGAAUGCCUAUCUCCAAUGGCUACAAUUUUCCCACUAAGCCACACUGGUCCCAAAAUAGAACACAAAGCUUGUUAUGGAUGCUAUACUGCCUUCAGGACUGUGCUUGGCCCGCUGACAGCUCUCAACCCUCAGUCACUGCCCUUGGCUGGAGAGGACUGAUUUGCUAGGCUGCCUCUACUCACUGAGGAGUUUACUGAGAUUGCAUCAAGUUCUGGGCCCAUUGGCAAACUAGAGCCAAACUAUUCCCUCUGCCUACUUCUGCUUCCUUUCCAUGGUGGCUAAUCCAGAGAACAUUCCCUAGUAAAUUGACUUCAUGAUCAUUUCCAUCUCAGUGACUGUUUUCUGAGAACCUAACCUGUGGCAAAGAUAGCCUCUUUUGCUCAUUUAAAUUGAUAAGAAAACAAGGAAUCGCUCAUAGAAUCAUAAAUUUUCUUAUAUUGUAAGGUGGUUAAUAAUUUUAACACUCAGUACUUCAUUUAAAAAUAUAAGCAGUGAUUUAACUGAAAAGGUCAGUAGCUUCUAUAUGAUCUUGAAUAUAGACGGAGUUCUAACAUAAAAAACAAACAGAAAAAUGCCAUGGACAGCCAUCAGUAUGAUUACAGAGAGAAUAGAAAGUAAGAAUUAAUCUAGCAAGGCAGUUAAUUUAAAGUUGGUCAAAAGAGCUUCUACUAAAUUUCCAAACCCUAAGGGAUGACUGGAUUAUUCUCAAGUUGUCAAUGUUGCCUGGCAAUUAAUUCAUUUACUUUCUUAAAAAGGGAUUUAAUUUUUAUAUUUUCCAUCCAACGGCCUUUCUCUAAUCUACCUGCCAGUAAUACCUAUUGCUUCUAAAAUAUGGUGGAAGAAUCCUGUUUUACAUGAUCAUCAUCAUGUUAUAUAUUUUCAAAGAAUGAAUAUUUGAAGAAUUAAAUAGUGAGACAAACUUGGGGAGCAGGGGUUGAACACAAGGUUUUUGGAGUGGCUGUGGGUGUCUGGACUGAGAUUUUUAAAUACUUCUUUCUCCAACUCAUCAGCACAAUUUAAAAAGUCACUGGCUCAACAAUUACAAAAAUUAAGCCAGAGUAUGUCUGUGUAUUUGUGUGGGAAUAAGGGGAUAUGUUAUGUUUGUGGGGUCAAAUCCAGAAGAAAAAUGCAAUCAUAAUUCUUAAAAAACAAACUCUGAAGUUUUUCAAUAAAUACCAGUGCUUCCCAGUGGCUUGUUGGGCUUUGAUAUACCUCUCUUCACUUACCAGGGAUUAGAGAUGAACUCACAAACUAAUUGUCGGUCAUGUAAGAUGUGAACAAUUUUGCCACAGUCAAAUACCAUCAUUUUAGAAAAUAUUAUUUUUUCUCAAGAAAUCAAGAUAACCAGCUUCAAUACAAUAAAUGCUAAUCAAAUUUUUUGAUUCGGAAUUAAGAAUAAAACUAUUUAAGGUAAAUAUUUUGAAGUAUUAAUAUAAUUUUUCUCUGAAAGUAGAGCUAUACAGUAGCUAUGAGAGAAGAAUGUUGUCUUCAAUUUAUUCUGUCUUUUUACAGUGAAAUAAUAGAAUCUCAAUGUAAAGGUGUAUUUGAUAUUAUUCAUCAUUUGUAAGUACAGGAGCAGGCCCAGAGAGGUAAAGUAACUCAGCAAAGAUUACACACUAAUGAUAAACCAGAAUUAAAACUCAAGUUUCUUGACAUAGAAUUCUAUUUUACCUACAACUUGUAUUUCUACUUAUUAACACAACACAAUCCAUCCAUCAAUAUAUUCUACUAUAAAAAUAAAUAAAAAAUAAAUUAAAAACUUAGAAGGUCUUGGUUUUAGAUUUAUUUUAAUAUACAGCUAAAUUAUAUUUGAUAUCAAUAAAUGAUUAUAAUGCUAAAAGAAGAAAUAAUUUUAGCUUCUCAGAGCUGCCAAAUGUAAAAAGAAUUCUAAUAUAGGUAUUAGCACAUUCUAGACUUUUCUGUGCUAACAAACAUCGUCAUAACAAAUAUUAGUGUCCAUAUUACACAUAGUGGAGGCUGGUGGAAGCUUCACCAUCUUGUAGCUGCAUAAUCUGCAUGAAUAUGUGGGAUCAGAUGUUGUAAAUAAAAAAUGUCUCACUCAGAGGAUAAGAAACUGGAGAUUGCACAUAGGCUUUCAAAAAAGCCUCAGUUAGAAAGCGUCAUGUUGCGAGGCAGUCAGAAAGCAUAAGCAUUGGUGAGCAUUAACGUCUCUAUCACAUUUUAACUUCUUAUACAUCUUCUGCUUACAGAGUAUAAGAUAGUAUUGCAUAGAUUCUGAUUUAGCUAAGUCUUCUCCUGGUGUUUCAAGUGGUUUCAUGAGUUUGUGAAUAUGGUCUCUUGACCCCGGUUACAUUGCCUGCAUUUUCCCAUGUUUUAUGUAUAAUACAUACCAAAUACAAGAUCAUCCAUUUCUCUGUGAUCUGAAGACAUUCUUAGUAUAAAAAUGUAUAAUAUCUGAUUAAUAAAUUUUUAUAUUGAUUACAUGUUGAAAUGCUAUUUUGGAUAUGUUAUUGGAUAUAUUAUUUUGGAUAUAUUAUUUUAAUUAAUUUUAUCCCUUUACUCUUUUCGAUGUUACUCUUAACUGUGAAGGUCUGAGUUUUUAAUCCUACUUUCAGGCUAACAAGUUAGCCUGCCACAUUUUAAUGGAUGCUAACAGAAGACAUGAUUCUCCUUGGUCAGAAAUAAAGGAAUGUAUUACUCAUGCUACAGCCAACAACAUGAGUUUUGUGUUUGGAAACAAUCAGUUCCCAUUGUUCCUACAAGUCCUUUGGGAACAGUGCAGCGUAGCCCAAGUGGACUGUGUAUGUGCAGUGGGUUCAUUUAACAGCUGAGGGAAUUAAAAUCCUUUAUGAUGAGCUAGAAGCAAACCUACAUCAUUUCUUCAUUGGAGAGAGAC